Molecule: ribosomal RNA, 448 nt
Filed under: uncultured bacterium
Lineage: Bacteria
Description: bacterial SSU rRNA
Rfam family: Bacterial small subunit ribosomal RNA
Source: RNAcentral
CCCAGACUCCUACGGGAGGCAGCAGUGGGGGAUAUUGCACAAUGGGGGGAACCCUGAUGCAGCGACGCCGCGUGGGUGAAGGAGCGCCUCGGUGCGUAAAGCCCUAUCGGCAGGGAAGAAACAGACGGUACCUGACUAAGAAGCCCCGGCUAACUACGUGCCAGCAGCCGCGGUAAUACGUAGGGGGCAAGCGUUAUCCGGAUUCACUGGGUGUAAAGGGAGCAUAGACGGCGACGCAAGUCUGGAGUGAAAGCCCGGGGCCCAACCCCGGGACUGCUCUGGAAACUGCGUCGCUGGAGUACGGGAGGGGCAGGCGGAAUUCCUGGUGUAGCGGUGAAAUGCGUAGAUAUUAGGAGGAACACCAGUGGCGAAGGCGGCUUACUGGACUGUAACUGACGUUGAGGCUCGAAAGCGUGGGGAGCAAACAGGAUUAGAUACCCUGGUAACU